This 1345-nucleotide ribosomal RNA is filed under the name Vibrio sp. 2071. Its description in RNAcentral is "bacterial SSU rRNA". It matches the Rfam family "Bacterial small subunit ribosomal RNA", at positions 65 to 1401 of the family's 1533-position model. The record is from RNAcentral. Lineage: Bacteria; Pseudomonadati; Pseudomonadota; Gammaproteobacteria; Vibrionales; Vibrionaceae.
AGUUAACUGAACCUUCGGGGAACGUUAACGGCGUCGAGCGGCGGACGGGUGAGUAAUGCCUGGGAAAUUGCCCUGAUGUGGGGGAUAACCAUUGGAAACGAUGGCUAAUACCGCAUAAUAGCUUCGGCUCAAAGAGGGGGACCUUCGGGCCUCUCGCGUCAGGAUAUGCCCAGGUGGGAUUAGCUAGUUGGUGAGGUAAUGGCUCACCAAGGCGACGAUCCCUAGCUGGUCUGAGAGGAUGAUCAGCCACACUGGAACUGAGACACGGUCCAGACUCCUACGGGAGGCAGCAGUGGGGAAUAUUGCACAAUGGGCGCAAGCCUGAUGCAGCCAUGCCGCGUGUAUGAAGAAGGCCUUCGGGUUGUAAAGUACUUUCAGCAGUGAGGAAGGCGGGUUCGUUAAUAGCGUGCUUGUUUGACGUUAGCUGCAGAAGAAGCACCGGCUAACUCCGUGCCAGCAGCCGCGGUAAUACGGAGGGUGCGAGCGUUAAUCGGAAUUACUGGGCGUAAAGCGCAUGCAGGUGGUUUGUUAAGUCAGAUGUGAAAGCCCGGGGCUCAACCUCGGAAUUGCAUUUGAAACUGGCAGACUAGAGUACUGUAGAGGGGGGUAGAAUUUCAGGUGUAGCGGUGAAAUGCGUAGAGAUCUGAAGGAAUACCGGUGGCGAAGGCGGCCCCCUGGACAGAUACUGACACUCAGAUGCGAAAGCGUGGGGAGCAAACAGGAUUAGAUACCCUGGUAGUCCACGCCGUAAACGAUGUCUACUUGGAGGUUGUGGCCUUGAGCCGUGGCUUUCGGAGCUAACGCGUUAAGUAGACCGCCUGGGGAGUACGGUCGCAAGAUUAAAACUCAAAUGAAUUGACGGGGGCCCGCACAAGCGGUGGAGCAUGUGGUUUAAUUCGAUGCAACGCGAAGAACCUUACCUACUCUUGACAUCCAGAGAACUUUCCAGAGAUGGAUUGGUGCCUUCGGGACUCUGAGACAGGUGCUGCAUGGCUGUCGUCAGCUCGUGUUGUGAAAUGUUGGGUUAAGUCCCGCAACGAGCGCAACCCUUAUCCUUGUUUGCCAGCACUUCGGGUGGGAACUCCAGGGAGACUGCCGGUGAUAAACCGGAGGAAGGUGGGGACGACGUCAAGUCAUCAUGGCCCUUACGAGUAGGGCUACACACGUGCUACAAUGGCGCAUACAGAGGGCGGCCAACUUGCGAAAGUGAGCGAAUCCCAAAAAGUGCGUCGUAGUCCGGAUCGGAGUCUGCAACUCGACUCCGUGAAGUCGGAAUCGCUAGUAAUCGUGGAUCAGAAUGCCACGGUGAAUACGUUCCCGGGCCUUGUACACACCGCCCGUCACA